RNAcentral lists this long non-coding RNA (1362 nucleotides) under Salmo salar (Atlantic salmon). RNAcentral's name for it is "lncRNA (ENSSSAG00000096014.1)". Lineage: Eukaryota; Metazoa; Chordata; Actinopteri; Salmoniformes; Salmonidae. The record is from RNAcentral.
GUAAGCUUAACUUUCCUUUAUGUUUUAUGAAUACUUUCAUGUUGUUGUUUAGCCAUUUCUAUGACUUUUACCAGAUCUAAAAGAUUGCUAGCCAAAACAGUAUUGCAUUUAGACUAGCUGUUUGCUAUCCCCAUUGAAAUGUAGCUAUGUAUCCUCUGUUUUCGUCAUGCUAGCUAAUAAGUAUGUGUGUUUCUAUGCAAAUGUACAGUAUGUUCAUAUUGAUAUACGUACCCAUUCUACUUACUGUAUGUCUUUCGACCUGUUGCCAAGGAGACCCUCGACAUGAGAAGACUGGAGGCCAUUGUUGGGUUUCCAGUGAGAGUGCUUCCUGGCCCAAGACCAAUCCACAUCCAGGUCUCAGGCAUCAACACAUCAACCCUCUCAGUUAUUGGAAGAGAGUUUCUCUUGCGAUGAUCGUGGACUUCAGGAAACAACAGAGGGAGCACCUCCCUAUCCACAUCGAUGGGACUGCAGUGGAGAAGGUGGAAAGCUUCAAGUUCCUCGGCAUACACAUCACUGACAAACUGAAAUGGUCCACCGACACAGACAGUGUGGUGAAGAAGGCGCAACAGUUCCUCUUCAACCUCAGGAGGUUAAGAAAUUUGGCUUGGCCCCUAAGACCCUCACAAACUUGUACAGAUGCACAAUUGAGAGCAUCCUGUCGGGCUGUAUCACCGCCUGGUACGGCAACUGCACCGCCCACAACCGCAAAGCUCUCCAGUCUGCCCAACGCAUUAGCGGAGGCAAAUUUCCUGCCCUCCUGGACACCUACAGCACCCACGAUGCCAUAGGAAGGCCAAACAGAUCAUCAAGAACCUCAACCACCAGAGCCACUGCCUGUUCACCCCGCUAUCAUCCAGAAGGUGAGGUCAGUACAGGUGCAUCAAAGCUGGGACCGAGAGACUGAAAAACAGCUUCUAUCUCAGGGACAUCAGACUGUUAAACAGCCAUCACUAGCACAUCAGAGGCGGCUGCCUAUAGACAUAGAUUAUGAAUCACUGGCCACUUUUAGAAAUGGAUCACUAGCCACUUUAAUAAUGUUCUGUAUCUAGCGUUACUCAUCUCAAAUGUAUAAACUGCACUCCACACUAUUCUACGGUAUCUUAGUCACUUUUAAAUUGUGUUUACAUAUUGCAUCACCCAUUUCAUAUGUAUAUACUGUAUUGUAUUCUAUACUACACCACUGACUGUUAAACAGCCAUCUCCAGCACAUCAGAGGCUGCUGCCUAUAGACAUAGAUUAGGAAUCACUGGCCACUUUAAGGAAAUGAAACACUAGCCACUUUAAUAAUGUCUCCAUAUCUUGCAUUACUCAUCUCAUAUGUGUAAACUGUACUCUAUACUAUUCUACGGUAUCUUAGUC